GCACAAGCAGCGGAGCAUGUGGUUUAAUUCGUAAGCAACGCGAAGAACCUUACCUAGACUUGACAUCUCCUGCAUUACCUUAAUCGGGGAAGCCCUUCGGGGCAGGAAGACAGGUGGUGCAUGGUUGUCGUCAGCUCGUGUCGUGAGAUGUUGGGUUAAGUCCCGCAACGAGCGCAACCCUUAUUUUUAGUUGCUACCAUUCAGUUGAGCACUCUAAAGAGACUGCCCGGGUUAACCGGGAGGAAGUGGGGAUGACGUCAAAUCAUCAUGCCCCUUAUGACCUGGGCUACACACGUGCUACAAUGGUUGGUACAACGAGUUGCGAGUCGGUGACGGCGAGCUAAUCUCUUAAAGCCAAUCUCAGUUCGGAUUGUAGGCUGCAACUCGCCUACAUGAAGUCGGAAUCGCUAGUAAUCGCGGAUCAGCACGCCGCGGUGAAUACGUUCCCGGGCCUU
RNAcentral lists this ribosomal RNA (455 nucleotides) under uncultured Streptococcus sp. RNAcentral describes it as "bacterial SSU rRNA". It matches the Rfam family "Bacterial small subunit ribosomal RNA", at positions 923 to 1382 of the family's 1533-position model. The record is from RNAcentral. Lineage: Bacteria; Bacillati; Bacillota; Bacilli; Lactobacillales; Streptococcaceae.